RNAcentral lists this long non-coding RNA (356 nucleotides) under Rattus norvegicus (Norway rat). RNAcentral describes it as "long non-coding RNA NONRATT004727". The record is from RNAcentral. Lineage: Eukaryota; Metazoa; Chordata; Mammalia; Rodentia; Muridae.
CGGUGGCGGUGGCGGAGACUGUGGCUUUAAGAGCGCGCUGGGAGCGCUAGAGUCAGCCGUGCAGCCCUUCUUCGCCAAGCACUCCGGAGCAGCCGAGCUCGGGGCUGGCCGGACCCGGCAGCCUGCCGCCAGACUGACUCCUCCAAAGCCUGGGAUCUGAAGUCCGUAUGUGUCUGCACUCCAUGUGUAUGCCUGGUGCCUGAAGAGGCUGCUGAGAACCAGCUCUAGACCUCUACUAGAGAGUCCUUCUUCUGAAGACAUCACCAGUGUGUGGAACCUGCCGCACACCCACCCCCUGCCAAACCACGGCCUUUACCUGUGUCUUUCGGUGUUUCCCGUGCGACCCUUCCUGUGGG